CUUCCCGGUCGAGAGCUCGCCGCUUCUGGAUGGGAAGGCAGCAGGGAACCGAGCGCAGGACCCGGGCAGCCUCCGGAACCUCUCCGAGCCUCGCUCCCAUCCAGCUCGGCCCGGGAGCCAAACGUAAAACACCUGCGCGAGGAACAGUGUCCCACCAAGUGCCAGGAGCACUCUCCCCUUGCUGCUCUGAAAACGCUGGACAUGGUACAUGAACAGGAAGCAGACUUAAUCCAGGACGAUGCGGAGAAUUAAUCUGAUAACCAUUGAGAAAGAGAUUGACAUGACAUUCAACUCCAAAAAUGACUGCAUCAGAGGUUCCAUGAUACAUUUUCAGUGCCUCACCGAUCAAGAGGCUGGUGAUUGAAAUCUCUGGGACAGUGUCAGCAAGGAACCCAUCCCUUGCUGUUUCACAAAAGCCAACAUCCCAGUAAUGACUGUUUCUUCUU
This is a long non-coding RNA of Bos taurus (domestic cattle), 446 nucleotides long. The record is from Ensembl. Lineage: Eukaryota; Metazoa; Chordata; Mammalia; Artiodactyla; Bovidae.